This 1089-nucleotide long non-coding RNA is filed under the name Cairina moschata (Muscovy duck). Its description in RNAcentral is "domestica (muscovy Duck (domestic type)) lncRNA (ENSCMMG00000001339.1)". The record is from RNAcentral. Lineage: Eukaryota; Metazoa; Chordata; Aves; Anseriformes; Anatidae.
AUGGGCUGCCACGGUGAGGGAGGAAGGGUGAGAAGGAAGGACAGAAGGCGUCAGGGCUGGCUUCGCACCAUAGCAGCGGGCUGUGCUGGAGCCUGUGUUGCUGAUUGUUCUCUUCCCUGGAGCAGUUCAACGUGUAGAAGCGUAGCGAGGGCAUUGGCAGCUUUUACCUCAGCAUCAUCCAGCCCUGCUGAGAGGCACUCGACGCAGAACGGUGCUAAAAUGCUGGCAGAGCCUUUUGACCCUACCAUGGCCUCUAAUCUAAAAGUCAUCUUCCUGUUUCUUUGGUCGCUUCUCUGUGAAGGGGGAGAUGUCAAGGUACAGCAGAAUCCUCUAAUCCAAGUUGCACUGCUCAAGGAAGAAGUGUCCAUCCCCUGUGAAGUCACCUUCCUUUACACCCUGAAAUACACCAAAUUUUCAAUCUUCUAUUACUGGUUUAAUUCAUCGGGUCAGAGGACAUCCAUCUAUAAUCGGGAAGAAAAUGUACAAAUCCCCCCUGGAAAAGAGAAUACGUCCAUAACCAAAUCCUACAAUCACAAAACCAUGCCACUUGAAAGCCACUCUUCUGGCACCUACUAUUGUGAGGUCCAGUGGAGUGACAUCCAGAAAAUGGGAAAUGGAGUGUAUAUCCUUGUGAGAGAGACAGGGUACACCGAGACCUCCUAUGGGUGGGACAUCCUCAUUACCUUUACCGCUCUUCUGGCUGCACUGAGCAUCACUGCAACAGCUCUGCUCGUGUGGAAAAGAAAGGCAUUGUGUCCUAAGAGGAACCAGCUAAAUAUACUGAGGCAGAAGAUAGAAACUCGGCCCCCUUCAGCCAGCCCGCCACCACCUUCUCCUGUUUAUGACGUGAGUACCAGAAUCACCUUCCAUACCUGCCGUUGCGCAGGAAAGGUGAUAAAAUAUCAGUAUUGUGAUGUGAAGCAAGCAGUCAGGCCGGUGCUGGUGCUCCUGCAUCUGUGCUCUGCUCCUCUGGGGACUGUGCUUGUUGCACGUCUCCAUCCCGAUCCCAGUGGCAACGCCUUGUGCCAUGCCCAGCAGCCCCGCUCCAGCAGCGGUGGGCAGCACUUAGAAUCCCUUUUCAUCGCUUAG